AUACGGAGGGUGCAAGCGUUACUCGGAAUCACUGGGCGUAAAGGGUGCGUAGGCUGGCUUCUAAGUCAGAUGUGAAAUCCAAUGGCUUAACCAUUGAACUGCAUUUGAAACUGGGAGCCUAGAGUUCAGAAGGGGCAGAUGGAAUUAGUGGUGUAGGGGUAAAAUCCGUAGAUAUCACUAGGAAUAUCAAAAGCGAAGGCGAUCUGCUGGGAUGAUACUGACGCUCGAAAGUGUGGGUAUC
This 241-nucleotide ribosomal RNA is filed under the name uncultured bacterium. Its description in RNAcentral is "partial 16S ribosomal RNA". It matches the Rfam family "Bacterial small subunit ribosomal RNA", at positions 523 to 769 of the family's 1533-position model. The record is from RNAcentral.